UGACCUCGGAUCAGGUAGGGAUACCCGCUGAACUUAAGCAUAUCAAUAAGCGGAGGAAAAGAAACCAACAGGGAUUGCCCCAGUAACGGCGAGUGAAGCGGCAAGAGCUCAAAUUUGAAAGCUGGCUCCUUCGGGGUCCGCAUUGUAAUUUGCAGAGGAUGCUUCGGGAGCGGUCCCCAUCUAAGUGCCCUGGAACGGGACGUCAUAGAGGGUGAGAAUCCCGUAUGGGAUGGGGUGUCCGCGCCCAUGUGAAGCUCCUUCGACGAGUCGAGUUGUUUGGGAAUGCAGCUCUAAAUGGGUGGUAAAUUUCAUCUAAAGCUAAAUAUUGGCCGGAGACCGAUAGCGCACAAGUAGAGUGAUCGAAAGAUGAAAAGCACUUUGAAAAGAGAGUUAAAAAGCACGUGAAAUUGUUGAAAGGGAAGCGCUUGCGACCAGACUCGCUCGUGGGGUUCAGCCGGCAUUCGUGCCGGUGUACUUCCCCGCGAGCGGGCCAGCGUCGGUUUGGGCGGUCAGUCAAAGGCCUCUGGAAGGUAACGCCCCCUCGGGGGCGUCUUAUAGCCAGGGGUGCAAUGUGGCCUGCCCGGACCGAGGAACGCGCUUCGGCUCGGACGCUGGCAUAAUGGUCGUAAGCGACCCGUCUUGAAACACGGACC
RNAcentral lists this ribosomal RNA (653 nucleotides) under Penicillium olsonii. RNAcentral describes it as "eukaryotic LSU rRNA". It matches the Rfam family "Eukaryotic large subunit ribosomal RNA", at positions 1 to 667 of the family's 3401-position model. The record is from RNAcentral. Lineage: Eukaryota; Fungi; Ascomycota; Eurotiomycetes; Eurotiales; Aspergillaceae.